UUUCCGAGCGUUGAUUUACCCUAGUUAUACCCUAAAACUACCUAGGAAUUAAAUUAGAUCGAAGAAAAAGCGCCGAAUCGUUAAAUUGGAGAGUGGCCGAGACCUAUUUGUGUUAGGACAGUGAGGAAACUCAAAUCUGAGCAAGGUUGGCCUUAUGCUUACUAUAGCCUUUCGAGUCUCCGAAAUUUUGGCUUUGGUUUCGUGUCAUUCCGAGUUCUGUAGUUCAAGUUAUGCGCGUUUUAGUGAGCAAAGGUAAAUAUUAGAAUUUUCUAGUUUAGUUUCACGUAUCAAAACUCACCCGUUCGGGGAAACUCUUCCAUUCGUGUUAGAGUGUCGUACUCGGAAGCUUUUUAAGCUUUGUCUAUCGUUAAUUAGUAUUGUUGUAAACGAAUUGACUUGUUUUGAUUGCUUUUCGCUUUGUUUGUUCCAAUGUUCGUUUGUGGAAACUUUGGGGUUGACAGAGCAAGCUUGUGAGCGUGACCUACACCGCGAGACUAGAACAACUCGAGGUGUUGGAUAUUCAUUACAUUAAUUCACAGCUGAAAUUGACUCCAAGUAACUUCCCAAAGGUGAAUGGAGGAAAGAAAUAGAAUUUCUUGUGGGCAAGUAAUGUGAGAAGGAAAGACAGGGAAAGUAAUAUAAAGAAAUUAACACCCAGUGAACAAACCUCUGUUGAAGAUGGAAACAAGGUGCAGAAUAUUGGUUUUUAGGGUCGUGGAAAUAAGCAUUGAUUAGCUGGGGUUUUCUGUAAUUUUGAUAUGCUCUCAUGCUGCUGUCAUCAAAAGAUGUUGCUAUGCUUGCUGCAAUCAUGUCAAUGGAGUUGUUUUUCGGACCUGAAGUACUGUGACAGAAAUAUGGUGUGCCCAUAAAGAAAUCAGACAUUAUCAAAUAGCAUAGAUAGCAGAUGCUAUGUAUUGAGAUUUAUGAGAGACUUAUCCUUUCUGAAUCCUCACAAUCUCCAUAUAAGGAUGUCAAAAGUUGGAUGUGAAAUGUUCAAAUAGAUAUGAAGAGUUUUUGCAGGAUGUGAGAUGUCCAAAUGAAAUCUGACGACUAACCAAGAGUGCAAUAUGUUGCAGCAUUGAUGUUAGUUGUAUUUUGUUUAAGCUAUGUUCUAUUAGCUUUGUAAUGCAACACAGUUAGUGGCUUUUAAUGGAACCAUGUAUGAAUUUAAUUAAGUAUUAUUUCC
Molecule: long non-coding RNA, 1186 nt
Organism: Lotus japonicus
Lineage: Eukaryota; Viridiplantae; Streptophyta; Magnoliopsida; Fabales; Fabaceae
Exons: 5
Source: RefSeq, a predicted model, not a curated record